Molecule: long non-coding RNA, 2642 nt
Organism: Zonotrichia leucophrys gambelii
Lineage: Eukaryota; Metazoa; Chordata; Aves; Passeriformes; Passerellidae
Exons: 3
Source: RefSeq, a predicted model, not a curated record
AUUUCUAAAAACUCAGCUCUAGGCACUGCAGAUGAAGGCAAAGGCUCCAUAGAAGUGAAAUUCUAUUACACAAGUGGCUUAUCCAAAACUUUUUCAGAACAAGGGAGAGUAUGAUAGAGUGCUGAAGCUGAAAGUUUCAACAUGUACUGAAAUAUUCCAAGUUCUUUGUCAUUUCCUGUCAGAACUGAUGUCAUGGUUGCUGCCUUCUCCAAAACUCCAAAUAACCUUCACUGCUAUUAGGAACACAGCUGAUUAUACACACUUGAUCUUCAGCAUCAGUGAGAUGUGGGACAGGGCUGGUUUCCCCACGCUGUGGAGGAGAAACAGUGGUGUGUGCACAUCUACACUGCAGCUCCCAGAGGAGUCACAGGUGAGGAGCUCUGUCAGAAGCCAUUUCACAGGAGCCUCAUUCCCCACCCUGCCACAGCCACACUCAGUGCUGGGAGGCCACAGGGUCAACACUGUCCAGGAGUUAAUUCAGAUUCAAAUUAACCACUUUUAUAGCAAGUUAGUUUUACCCUGAUGACUUUCUUGCUCCAGUUCACUGUACAGUUGCACAAACUCUUAUGUAACUGAAAGGGAAGAGAGUGCUUGUGGGCAGGAGGGGAAGGAGCUGUGAUCUGUGAGUGCCAGAGUACAACGAGCACCAGAGGAGCUUUAUGUCAGCUCAUGGUGUUGGUGAAAAUACAGCAGAGGCUCAUCCUUAAAAGCUACCCUGCAUCUGACUUCUCCUGAAAUUAGUGCUCUGAACCUAUCUGACUUUUCAAAGGUCAUGCAAAAUAUUUCUAAUAGUGCACAAAAUUAACAUAAUUGUGCUGACUAGAAUAGGUGAAAGAAGCCAUUUCAAUCCUGAGGGCCAAGGAAGCUUUAUGCAUACCUUUGGCAAUCCACAUCUUUACUCAAUAGUAACACCAAGGAAUAAAAAAUAAAAAAGAACUGUGGCUGCAGGCUGCAUAGAAUUAAAGAAUAACUCACUUGAGAAUUUUUCUGUUAAUACAAUAUAGUAUUUUCACUGAAAAUUUCCAGGUGCUAAGCAGAAGACAAAGGCACACAGAACUUUUCUGGCUUUUUGCUGAAUUAGCCCUUGAAUUACACUCCCAAGACAGGCCCAUAUUUUUAAACUUUGCAAGCUCAACUAGGCCUAUUAGGAGCAAAGGCAUCUCAGGGCUUUAUGUUUAUCAACAUAAAUAUACAAAAACCCUCCAAACCCUAGCUCUAAUAGGUUCCAUUUAACAAGAUGACAUUGUUUUUUUUUCCCUGUGAUGCUUAUUCUGACAGUGGUACUGGCAAAGGAGCUCCUUCUCUUGUAUGAGCUGUUCCUGCACUGGAGGGAGGAGGGAUAACAUUAGCUCUAGCAGUGCAGCUAUCCCUUUUGAGCACAGAAAAACCUUAAGGAGACAAGAUAUGGCAGGAGGGCCAAAGUAAUAGAUUCUGUUGGGCAGGUAUCUGUGGAAAAACAAAAGUCCCAGCUGUUCUCUGGCACAAUUUGCAAGUAGCAAAAUUUUAAAACUGGCCCAAGCUGCCCAAAGUUAUCUCUUCCUAAUGCCUAUUCACAGUGGGAUUCUACUGAAGAAGGUGUAGAAGUCAGUUUAGCUUCUUUAGCUGAAUCCUUUUCCUGUGUAACUUGAGCUGUCCUGCUUUCUUUGUACUACAGCACACCUGCUGAUGCUGAGGGGCCUCCAUGGCAGAAGCAGGAUGGCAGAACAUUUUACAAAGAAAUGCAGCCCAGCUAUCUUGACAAGUGCUGCAUGUCAAGGCAGUCCUUCAGUCCAGUUGCUUCAUGGUAAAGUUUUCCUUUUUCCUAAGAAAAGAGAAGGAAAAUGAAGAACCUCUUGAACUAAAGACUUGUGUGUCACAUGCAGAUGAGAAACCAGUUUCAUCCACUCAGAGAUAGCAUGCCUGUCCUGUGUCUGAAGGAGUCCAUUAUGACAGAACAAGAUCCGAGAUAGUCUCAAAAUACUGAUAGAAACUGCACUGAUUCUCAUAAGUUAAUUAUGUCAGAUCCAGUCAAGUUAAUUAGAAAACAAUGUUCUUGUUCUGUGAUCAUCCAUGUUUUAUAUCAUUCCCUAUUUCCACUAGCUGCUGGGAAAAUAUUAGCAAGUUUAACAUUGAGGAUGAAUUCUAUUUCUCAUAGAGCUUUUUUUAGCUUAAAAUCCAUGUGACAAAUCUUUUUUAAGGACUUGUCAGUCACGUUCCUUAUCCAUCCAGCACCCUUAGCAUCAAAUGCAUCAUGUACACUCAGCCAGGGCUGUGCUUAGCCUGGCAUGAAGACACAAAUGAAAAGUAAGCAGGGAAAAAUUUUUCAUAUCAUUUCAUAUCUCUGUAAGAAAGAUAUCCAUGAUAGAAGGUCUGUUUUGAAUAUUAAAAAAUACAGAGGCACAUCUUGUCUCCACAAGAAUCAACAGUAGUUUCAGGAAGGACAAGUUUAGACUUAAAGACUCUGAUAAUUAGAGACAUGUCUGUUGAUGAUAUUUUUGUAUGGAUGAAAGUAUUGUUUGUAAGGAAAGCUUCCCUGAAGUAUAUGCCCUGCCACGUGUCCAAAAUCCCUCACCUGUACUGAUUUUAUGUCACUUUAAAAUUGUGAAUGCUUUUAAUGGCUAUUGCUUCUGGACAAAAGUACUAGGUCAUGAGGAAUAAAUAUU